Molecule: ribosomal RNA, 539 nt
Filed under: Lactobacillales bacterium CPI-25
Lineage: Bacteria; Bacillati; Bacillota; Bacilli; Lactobacillales
Description: bacterial SSU rRNA
Rfam family: Bacterial small subunit ribosomal RNA
Source: RNAcentral
CUUUUGUCGAUGUAAAGCCCCCGGCUCAACCGGGGAGGGUCAUUGGAAACUGGGAGACUUGAGUGCAGAAGAGGAGAGUGGAAUUCCAUGUGUAGCGGUGAAAUGCGUAGAUAUAUGGAGGAACACCAGUGGCGAAGGCGGCUCUCUGGUCUGUAACUGACGCUGAGGCUCGAAAGCGUGGGGAGCAAACAGGAUUAGAUACCCUGGUAGUCCACGCCGUAAACGAUGAGUGCUAAGUGUUGGAGGGUUUCCGCCCUUCACUGCUGCAUCUAACUCAUUACACUCCGCCUGGGGAUACGACCGCAAGGUUGAAACUCAAAGAAUUGACGGGGGCCCGCACAAACCCUCCAUGUUUUAUUCUCAACAACGCAAGAACCUUACCGGUUGACUCUUUGCCCUCACUAAAACUCCCCUUCGCCAAACGACAGGGUGUCCCCUCCUAUAUUUUCUACUCCCCUCAAUUCCACCUUCUUCCAUCUCAUUUUCCACUCACCUCCCUGGUACAAACCUUCGCAAUCUGACUUUGACACCACCCGCCU